Molecule: long non-coding RNA, 4380 nt
Organism: Capsicum annuum
Lineage: Eukaryota; Viridiplantae; Streptophyta; Magnoliopsida; Solanales; Solanaceae
Exons: 2
Source: RefSeq, a predicted model, not a curated record
AACUCAUUUCAUUUCCCACAAUCACCUCAUCAAUCCACACCACAUCAUAUCCACCAAUAAUACACUACCACUUCAACAAAGAAACACAAAUCGUCAUCCAAAAGCACAAACUCAUCUGAUUCGUUAAUUCUAUUUAACCCAAGGGUUAUACAUAUAUAUUUAAAUCGGGACCGUCUGAUCGAAUGAUCGGAUGAUCCAGAUUUUAGUCAAAAGGCCAAUCCUCAAAAAUGCAUGUGAUACUCCCUUCCCAAAACCAGAAACACGUGUGACCCCUUUCCCAUUGUCGCGCCCCUUUCCCCAUCUUUCUCAAAUAUAGUGUUCCAUCACCAUCAUCUUGGACCAAAAAUGCAAAAACCAACGCCCUUUCUCUCCUCUCUCCUCUCUCCUCUCUCCUCUCUCCUUCUUCCUCCUCUCCUUCGUACCCAAACCAGAAUGGCCCUAAUAGCCAUAGCUGCUGCGGCAGAGCUGCUAGCCUGCCAAGAUUCACUCAUUUUUUACCUCCCCAGCCCAUGAAAACAACAAAUCAGAGAAAACCAGUCCCAAAUUGAUAUAGCAACGGAAAUUGGUUCAAAUCCACCAUUAAAAGCUUUAAAAAGGGUGAAGAUUUGGAAAUUUAUUUCAGAAAAUUUGAAUUUGAAAUUCGAUUCCUCUCUCGAUUCUCAUAUUUUUCUCAAAAUUUUGACUUCAAAUACGAACUUUAAAGCCCGAAUUUAACCAAUAAAUAAGGGUAUUCUUUACCCGCAUAGACAGAGGUAAAAAAAUGAGAGGAAAAAUAGAGUGGAAAUAAGGUCAAAAAUUUAGAAAAAGAGUGAAAAACUUGAAAAACAUAAAAGAAAUGCUCAGAGAAAAAGGAGGAAGAAUUAAAAAAAAAUAGAAGAAAAUUUGAAAGAAAAAGGGGCUAAACGAAAGUUGAAGUUUGAGAAAUUGGGAGAAACGAGGCCUGAGUUUGAGUCCAAGGAAUCCCAAAUUUAUCAUCGAAAAAUUCUUGACGUUGGAGCUUCGAUUUGCUGCCCAACAAAAGGUAAAUCAUCCUUUUACCCCAUCUUUAUCUCCAUCCCUUUCGUCUGUUGUGACUUAACCCAUCUCGGAUUCAAGUUGUUUGUUGUGUUUUUUGGACCCUGUGGAUAAAAGUAAUUUUUGAUCUAGAAAAAAUUAUCGUAUGAAUAUGCAAAUCUGUAAGCAUGUGAAUAUUCAAUUUGUCGUGAUAUCAAAUUGGAUUGUUGGUAUGAUUAUUUGUUUAUUUGCAAAUCAGACUCAAACAAUUAUUUUAGUCUAUAUCGUUUCACUAUGGGCAAUCACUUUUCUAUUUUUCUUAAAUUGGAAGCGAGUUUUUUGUGAAAAUAUGGCAAAAAUAUGUUUUCUCCUAAAAUUAUACACGACCAAUGAUCAUUUUUGCUUUAUUUCCUUUUUGUGGAUUGAAAUAUUGAUAUAUUUUGGGAAGGUUUUAUUUGCCUUUAAUGGAAAAAGCAGAAUCAUGUUAUUUAAAAAUUCACCCCUUUAUCUCCUUUCCUUUUGUCUCUUUGAUUUUGCAAAUAUGUGAAUCUUUUGGGUGUCGAGUUCACGUCGAUUUUUUUAGUUUACACCUUGCAUUUUGAGUGCAAGAUGUGUUCCUUGCAGUUUGAGUGCAAGAUGUGUUCCUGUAUGAUUUCUUUUUCUUGUUUCUCAAUAGACACCAUGUUUUAUUUUAAAUUAAAUAGGUGAGUAGUAUGAGUUUUUCUCUAAUUUGCACAAAUCGAGUUUAAAUUAUUGUUGUCUUAUUUUCAAUUCGUCUCAACAUUAAUUUUUUUUUAAGGCAUUUGAAUUAGUGUAACACCGCAUAUUUUUGGGCUAAAAUUUAAAUCGUCGUUCAUAUAUAUAUAGAUCCGAACCCAAUGAUUUUACAUUAAUAUAUGUGUGAUGAUCAAUUCUAUAGCGUGGGGAUAUCUUUGGAUGUGAAUUGAGGUCGCAAAAAUCUCCUAAUUCAAAGAUGAGUUGAAAUUUUUUCGGUCGUCCUUAUUUGGGUCAACUUCCAAUGACCAUUACACCUAUAAUUUAACGAGUUAUAUGUCCUAAUAUAUACCAAAUAAUAUAUCUUCGAGUCUUAUUUCCAAAGCAUCUGAUUUCACCUUAAUCUGAUAUCAGAGUAGAAAGUUAUGCUCAUUUACUUGAAAGACGAGCUGUCAACUUAGUCGUCAGCCUUAAACAAAAAAGACCCUAAAUCACUUAGGAAAGUUGACGACUAAGUUGACAAGGCAUCAACUAGUGGAUAAGUUGUCAGCCAAGUCGUCAACCUUAACCAGAAAGUGUUCAAGUCCAACUAGAGGUUGACGAAUUAGUUGACAAGCUGUCAACUGAAAAUUCUUGUAAUUUUUAUUCAGUUUCUUUAGAGAUAUUUUGGCCCAACUCCUCCCCACAAUUUAAAAACACUAAGAUGCCCUUAUCUUCAGUUAUACAAAUCAAAACACUGCUCUCUCCUAUCUAAAUCCCUAAGUCAAGAACACUAGGGUUUCUCAAGGUUGGUCAUCUUAAUCUUUAAGGGUUUAUUUUUCUCCGUGAUUCUUGAUAUUUCAGGCUUGUAACUCUUCCCCAAAUCUUAUUUUAUUGAAAGCAUGUGUUUAUACUUGUACCUAUGUGAUUUUAUUGAUGAUUUUAAAUGUAGGUUGGGGGUUAUUGAACGUUGCUGAAUUCAUAGCUUUUCCAAUGGCUUUUAUGCAUUAUAUAUGGUUUGAAUUGAGGGUUUUGGAUUUAAUUUGUUUAAAUGAUUUUCCCAUGAUUAUUAUGAAUUAAUUAUACUUGAAUUGUUGAUUUGUACACCCAUUGGGUUGUAUGAGAAUUGUGAAUGAAAUUAGGGAUACAAGAAUUUCCCAAAUAAUUGUAUUUUGGUAUUGAAAUUGAUAAUAACCUCAACCCACUUGCACAAUUAGAUUUAGAAUGUGAUUAAUCAAUUGGUUUGGUUUAUUUUUUUAAAACUAAUAUUUUACAUAAAUGGCUAAAUGGUUAAGGAUGACUUUGAAAAACCUUGUGUGGCACAAGGAUUUUUUCAAGCGGAUAAUAAUGAUUUUGAAAACCUUGUGGGGCACAAGGAAUCCCCAAGUUGAUUUUAAUAAUAGAGUUUGGGCUACAAGGAUUCCCCAAGUGAUGGCUCAAGGACACUCACUUACAAGCUAUAGUCGGUAUGACGAUACCCACUUGAUAAUGUCUUAAUAAUUGACUCAUUGAAUUAAUGAAUGAGUUUGUGCUAAAUAUUUUAAUUGGGCUUAAAGGGGUUGUGUAGCUAACCGUGAAGGUGUGAGUCCCGAAGUACUGAUACUAGAAACUCACGUUUGCCAAUGUAAGGGUUGGUCUUGAUGACUAUGUGCUUAUGUCACACUAUACAUAUAUUUGUAUCAUGGAUAAUGUAGGGUACGAGGAUUCCCCAGACUUUUAUGAUAUCUCCGAUUCGUGCAGUUAACACGUACUGGGGCUCAACAGAAGAUGACAACUGGACCCAUAUAGCCUGUAAAAGGGUGAUUUUCGAUCCUCGAUGAACUCGAGAUACUCAUCACUGGCAAGACCUGGUUUGGAUCGUGACAGUUAGUUUACUAAAGUGGCUCUCUAUUAUAAACAUUGGAUAAGGUUUGUAACUUAUGCAGUUUUUUGUAUUGAGUUUUGACGUGGGUAUAACUUUGUCAAAACUGUCCAAUUUUAAUAUCUGGGGGGUGUAUUUUUGUAACGAUUAAGAAUAUGAUUUUUUUGGGGUGUCGGUAAUGAAAACAUUUUGAAGAAAUGUGCUCUUCCAUUUUCUAUAAAUGUUUGAUUAUGUGUUUGUAGGCCAACAUUCUCAUUAAUUAGUUGUCCUAAAAUUAUUUCUCUUUGACCAUGGUUGUUAAACAUGUUUAUAUUAAUUUUGUUUUUUGAUAUGCAUAUAUUUAUCUUUGUCGAAUUUUGAAAAGUCUUAUCAAGCUAUUUUGAGCUAUUUUGGGUUAUUUGUCCCGUUGGCUCAAGACAUAAUUGUCGUGAUAUUAGAAAUACUAGUUUAGCGUAAAUCUUGAUUUUUUGCGUGAAAUGUACUCUUGAUUGCCAUAUUUUGUUCUUAGUUGUUAGUAUAUAUUAUUUCAUCAUGUGUAGGUUAGUUAUUAAUUCUUAUUGUUUUCUUUGUCGUUAUGUAACUUGAGAUUUGGAGUUUCAAUUUAAACUCCAUUUCGAUUCAAGUAUUGGGUCAGCCGAUACUAGAAUCGUAGAGCCUCGAAGUCGCAUAAAAUUAGAAGGUCAAACUCCAUUUGGAGUCUAGUUCCUCUUAGCCCUUAUCUUUUAGUUCAUUAUUCUUAUUAUGCUAUUAGCCUUUGUAAACUCGAAAUCGCAUUGUUAUUGUUGUAUUUGAUUUAUAUUAUUUGUUUAUUGUAUUUUUGUUGUCUUGAUGCU